Molecule: ribosomal RNA, 300 nt
Filed under: uncultured Pseudomonadota bacterium
Lineage: Bacteria; Pseudomonadati; Pseudomonadota
Description: bacterial SSU rRNA
Rfam family: Bacterial small subunit ribosomal RNA
Source: RNAcentral
CGCGUAAGUAACCUAUCUCCGAGUGGGGAAUAACCCCGAGAAAUUGGGGCUAAUACCGCAUAAUGCGCUGAGGUCAUUAUCUUGGCGUCAAAGCCGCAAGGCGCUUGGGGUUGGGCUUGCGCCCUAUCAGGUAGUUGGUAGGGUAAUGGCCUACCAAGCCGAUGACGGGUAGCUGGUCUGAGAGGAUAUCCAGCCACACUGGGACUGAGAUACGGCCCAGACUCCUACGGGAGGCAGCAGCAAGGAAUUUUGCGCAAUGGGCGAAAGCCUGACGCAGCAACGCCGCGUGGGUGAAGAAGG